This 253-nucleotide ribosomal RNA is filed under the name uncultured bacterium. RNAcentral describes it as "partial 16S ribosomal RNA". It matches the Rfam family "Bacterial small subunit ribosomal RNA", at positions 524 to 776 of the family's 1533-position model. The record is from RNAcentral.
AACGUAGGAUCCGAGCGUUGUCCGGAAUCACUGGGUGUAAAGGGUGCGUAGGCGGGCUUGCGCGUCAAGGGUUAAAGACCUCGGCUCAACCGGGGGAAUGCCCUUGAUACGGCAGGUCUUGAGUGCGGGAGAGGAUGGUGGAAUUCCUGGUGUAGCGGUGAAAGGCGUAGAGAGCAGGAGGAACACCGAAGGCGAAGGCAGCCAUCUGGACCGCCACUGACGCUGAGGCACGAAAGCGUGGGGAGCAAACAGG